Molecule: non-coding RNA, 402 nt
Filed under: Coniochaeta ligniaria NRRL 30616
Lineage: Eukaryota; Fungi; Ascomycota; Sordariomycetes; Coniochaetales; Coniochaetaceae
Description: Eukaryotic large subunit ribosomal RNA
Rfam family: Eukaryotic large subunit ribosomal RNA
Source: Rfam by way of RNAcentral
UAUUAAACUUAAUUUUAAUUUAAUAUUAUAAAAAGAUAUAAAAAGUAUAAAAUAAGUAAAAGCUUUAAUAUUAAUAAAAUACUACUAUUUUUAUUAUUUUUUUACUUAUUUAAUAAAGUAAAGUUAAACUUUUAUUUAAUUUUUAAUAUUAAAGUCUUUUAUAAGUUAACUUAAAUUAAAAAUAUUAUUAAGUAAAAAGUUUAGCUAAAGUAAUAUAUUUAUUAAACUAUAAUAUAAAUAUUUUAAGAAAAGUUUAUAAAUAAUAGAAAUUUCUAAUAAAAUAAAAAGAUAAAAGUUUUUUUAAUUUUAAUUUUUAAUAUAAAUAUAAACUAUAAAAGUAUAGUUUAUUAAUCUUUUAAACUUUUAAAAUUUAAAGUUAAAAGUAUUAGAAAAGUUACUAUA